GCAUGCAAAAACAAUAAAAGGAAANGGACAGGUUUGAUUUUUGGUAGUAUUUGGUUAGUAUUUGGAUGAGAGACCUCCAGGAAAUCCCAAGGCUGUAAGCU
RNAcentral lists this ribosomal RNA (101 nucleotides) under Salvator merianae (Argentine black and white tegu). The record is from RNAcentral. Lineage: Eukaryota; Metazoa; Chordata; Lepidosauria; Squamata; Teiidae.